CACAAAUAUUUGAUUAAGUACGGGUUUUCUUAAUACACAAAUAUAACUCCAAACUUUUGAGAUAGUUUAGGAGAUCAGGGUGUCAUAUUCGAACACCACUAUGUCACGAUGUAUUCUCCCUCACCUGAGUGUGUCGGGUCGCUAGGUUCUAUGUUUGCAGGUGAGCUUACUUGAUCCGAUCUCCUCUCGAGCUCUUCAUUACGCCAAAAUAACAUUAAUUAGCUAACUGACGAUAAUAAUUAUACUUACGAAAUAAUUUUUUACACGAAGAUAAAAAUUACGAUUUAAAAUGAAUUUAAUUCCUUUCGUCCAUCCGAUUCAAGGUUGAAUAUCCUUGAAUCAUCAUUUGUCAUUGAAAGUCUUACAAUCAAAUAACACUUUUAAAAGUAAGAUUUUCAAUAAAACUUAUACUGGAAUUAUGUCAUAAUUCGUGGAUAUACAUCAGGCUAGUUCCCAGGAAAGAGAGGUGGGUCGUAAAGACACCCUUAAAUACCAAGUCUUUCCUUAGAUAGAACCUUUCUAUACAUGUAUUCCCACUUCAUUACAUUUUUCCGGUAGUUCAUAAAUCUUAUUUUUUGUAAGUAAAACAUUUUUACUAAAACUAACCUUUUAAAAUAAGAUCAUUAAGCUAGACUUAUCAUUCUUAAAGUAAGUCAAUUUAAACAAAAUCAAUACUUUUAAAUCAAUAUUUUUUAAGUAAAUCUUACCAUUUUAAAGUAAGUUCACUUAACUAAGAUUCAACAUUUUUAAAUCGUUUUACCAUCUAAGACUUCAUAACACUUUAAGUUUAUAAAGUCAAGAUUUUUAGGUAAAUCUCAUUAUUUCGAGUAUACUACUAAAACAAAUUAAUAAUUAAUAAAACAUACACAGAAAAUUCACGGUGUUACAAUCCUCCCCCCCUUAUAAGAUUUUUGUCCUCGAAAAUUAAACGUACCUCUUAAGAAAACAGAUAUGGG
RNAcentral lists this long non-coding RNA (956 nucleotides) under Lupinus angustifolius (narrow-leaved blue lupine). RNAcentral's name for it is "long non-coding RNA (LANG_LNC001857)". Lineage: Eukaryota; Viridiplantae; Streptophyta; Magnoliopsida; Fabales; Fabaceae. The record is from RNAcentral.